This 479-nucleotide ribosomal RNA is filed under the name uncultured bacterium. RNAcentral's name for it is "bacterial SSU rRNA". It matches the Rfam family "Bacterial small subunit ribosomal RNA", at positions 29 to 524 of the family's 1533-position model. The record is from RNAcentral.
AUUAAACGCUGGCGGCAUGCCUUACACAUGCAAGUCGAACGGCAGCACGGGGGCAACCCUGGUGGCGAGUGGCGAACGGGUGAGUAAAGCAUCGGAACGUGCCCUGGAGUGGGGGAUAACGUAGCGAAAGUUACGCUAAUACCGCAUAUUCUGUGAGCAGGAAAGCAGGGGAUCGCAAGACCUUGCGCUCUGGGAGCGGCCGAUGUCGGAUUAGCUAGUUGGUGGGGUAAAGGCCUACCAAGGCGACGAUCCGUAGCGGGUCUGAGAGGAUGAUCCGCCACACUGGGACUGAGACACGGCCCAGACUCCUACGGGAGGCAGCAGUGGGGAAUUUUACGCAAUGGGCGAAAGCCUGACGUAGCGACACCGCGUGAGCGAAGAAGCCCCUUGGGGUGUAAAGCUCUGUCAGCUGGAACGAAAAAAAUGACGGUACCAGCAGAGGAAGCAUCGGCUAACUACGUGCCAGCAGCCGCGGUAAU